This 393-nucleotide ribosomal RNA is filed under the name uncultured bacterium. RNAcentral's name for it is "partial 16S ribosomal RNA". It matches the Rfam family "Bacterial small subunit ribosomal RNA", at positions 523 to 918 of the family's 1533-position model. The record is from RNAcentral.
AUACGGAGGAUGCGAGCGUUAUCCGGAUUUAUUGGGUUUAAAGGGUGCGUAGGCUGUGCGUUAAGUCAGGGGUGAAAUGCCGUCGCUCAACGACGGAGCUGCCCUUGAUACUGGCGUGCUGGAGUACGGAUGCCGUUGGAGGAAUGAGUGGUGUAGCGGUGAAAUGCUUGGAUAUCACUCAGAACACCGAUUGCGAAGGCAUCUGACGAAUCCGUCACUGACGCUGAGGCACGAAAGCGUGGGGAUAGAACAGGAUUAGAUACCCUGGUAUUCCACGCCGUAAACGAUGAUGACUAACCGUCGGCGAUAGACAGCCGGUGGCCAAGCGAAAGCGAUAAGUCAUCCACCUGGGGAGUACGUCGGCAACGAUGAAACUCAAAUGAAUUGACGGGG